UAUUCGUCUGUGAGGAAGAGAGUAGUGAUGGGGGAGUUUAAGCGAGUUAGGGUUGGUGUGAGCCUAAUAACAAAGCCAUGAUGAAGCGCACUUCUGAGAUGCAUCCUGAAAUGAGUAGUAGGGAAUGCCGGUGCUAGCCGUUAUCUAGUUGAAAGCAGGUUCGUAUUUUGAACAAUCAGAGUGGUACCGCGGGUAAAUCUCGUCUCUAAA
This 210-nucleotide non-coding RNA is filed under the name Alkalihalobacillus alcalophilus. RNAcentral describes it as "Bacillus alcalophilus T-box sequence". It matches the Rfam family "T-box leader". From Rfam's summary of the family: Uncharged tRNA acts as the effector for transcription antitermination of genes in the T-box leader family. T-boxes are found upstream of many aminoacyl-tRNA synthetase genes and some amino acid biosynthetic genes usually in Gram-positive bacteria. Lineage: Bacteria; Bacillati; Bacillota; Bacilli; Caryophanales; Bacillaceae. The record is from RNAcentral.